GUUAACUAUCAGGCAGUGUGGCAGGCUGUUGUUAACUAUCAGGCAGUGUGGCAGGCUGUUGUUAACUAUCAGGCAGUGUGGCAGGCUGUUGCUGACUAUCAGGCUGUUGUUAACUAUCAGGCAGUGUGGCAGGCUGUUGUUAACUAUCAGGCAGUGUGGCAGGCUGUUGUUAACUAUCAGGCAGUGUGGCAGGCUGUUGUUAACUAUCAGGCAGUGUGGCAGGCUGUUGCUGACUAUCAGGCAGGCUGUUGUUAACUAUCAGGCAGUGUGGCAGGCUGUUGCUGACUAUCAGGCUGCUGUUAACUAUCAGGCAGUGUGGCAGGCUGUUGCUGACUAUCAGGCUGUUGUUAACUAUCAGGCAGUGUGGCAGGCUGUUGUUAACUAUCAGGCAGUGUGGCAGGCUGUUGUUAACUAUCAGGCAGUGUGGCAGGCUGUUGUUAACUAUCAGGCUGU
Long non-coding RNA from Oncorhynchus tshawytscha (Chinook salmon), 453 nucleotides. The record is from Ensembl. NCBI's taxonomy places the organism in Eukaryota, Metazoa, Chordata, Actinopteri, Salmoniformes, Salmonidae.